This 502-nucleotide ribosomal RNA is filed under the name uncultured bacterium. RNAcentral's name for it is "bacterial SSU rRNA". It matches the Rfam family "Bacterial small subunit ribosomal RNA", at positions 30 to 527 of the family's 1533-position model. The record is from RNAcentral.
AUUGAACGCUGGCGGAAUGCUUUACACAUGCAAGUCGAACGGUAGAGGGGGCAACCCCUUGAGAGUGGCGAACGGGUGAGUAAUAUAUCGGAACGUGCCCAGUCGUGGGGAUAACGUAGCGAAAGUUACGCUAAUACCGCAUACGAUCUAAGGAUGAAAGCGGGGGACUCGCAAGAGCCUCGCGCGAUUGGAGCGGCCGAUAUCAGAUUAGGUAGUUGGUGGGGUAAAGGCUCACCAAGCCAACGAUCUGUAGCUGGUCUGAGAGGACGACCAGCCACACUGGAACUGAGACACGGUCCAGACUCCUACGGGAGGCAGCAGUGGGGAAUUUUGGACAAUGGACGCAAGUCUGAUCCAGCCAUUCCGCGUGCAGGAUGAAGGCCCUCGGGUUGUAAACUGCUUUUGUACGGAACGAAAGGUUUCUAUUAAUACUAGGAGCUCAUGACGGUACCGUAAGAAUAAGACACCGGCUAACUAACGUGCCAGCAGCCGCGGUAAUGUG